CACACACACACACACACACACACACACACACACACACACACACACACACACGCACAUGCCCUCCCCCCAAUGAAAAACAUACAAAUGGCUGAGAUCAUAUGAGCCAAACCAGCAAAGAUAAGAAUAAGGAAACGCCAUCAGGGGAGCCAUCCGCCCCGACAGCAGCAGAUCCACAGCAGCAGCCAAGGCACCGACACAGGGCGCCCAGGGCAGGGAGGGUGGAGACCCCCACCUCCACCUGGCGCUCACCCUUUAGCCGUUCGGUUCAUGAAAGAGUUUCGCAGACUAAGGCCCAUUAUUAGAUCUUCUGUCCCUUCUUGUGACCUCACUUUGCCACUGGAGGCCCUGUGUGGUCCCCCAUUUGAGCCAAUUGAAUCGAUCAGCAUGAAGCUUCUGUCUUAUAAGACAGCUCUGCUCUUAGCCCUAGCAUUGGUGAAGAGGGUGGGAGAUCUUCAUGCUCUUUCAGUCCAACCUUCCUGUCUGAAAAUAUCAUCAGACGAAUCUAGUGUCACCCUGCAUCUGAAUGCUGCAUAUUUGCUCAAGGUCAUCCUGCUGAACUAUUCUGUAUUCUGUUCCCUGACAGUGCUUUCGGGCUUCAGUUGUCCUCCUUUUGCCUCUGAGGAGGAGAGGAGGCUGCAUUGUCUGUGCCCGGUUUGUGCUCUGGCUUAUAUAGAUUGAACUUGGAGUAUCGGAAGAACAGACCAAAUGUUUGUGUGUUUCGCCAAACCCUCCAUGGGUAAAGCUUUGUCAAAGCAAAGACUUUCUCAUUGGAUUGUGGAGAGAAUUUCCCCAUGUAACAGUGUCACUGGCUCCCAGCUUCCCCUAAGGGUAAGGGCACACUCUACUAGAGGUGUGGCUGCUUCUUGGGCACUGUUUAAAAGGUGUUUCAGUUUGUCAUUUGCUCAGCUGCAAGCAACACACCACACUUUUGUGAAGUUUGACCAUUUGGAUGUUUCGGCCCCUUCAGUAGCGCAUGCAGUUCUUUCUGCUGGGUCUGACUUGCCAUCUUAGAUUGCAAUCUCAACCCAAGUUUAAUAGCUGCUCAUGGGACAUUUCGAUAAGUCCCAUAGUGCCUUCUUGUACCGAGUGAAUCGACUGAAAACACUCACACAUGAGGGAUUUGUGGUCACUGUUUUGAUUGCAGUUUUAGUUAACUCAAAAAAGGUUUACAUGUUCUUGUGGCCAAGGUCCUGACGUUUCUUUAGUGGUACAGCAUGACGAUAUUUAUUGAUAUUUGGAGGCCCUUGGGCCUGAAGAAUUGGGGGCUGGCGGAAAAGUCUGGCAGGCCGGAUUUGGCCCACGGGUCGCUAAUUUCGGACCACUGCCCUAGUGGGAGGGAGUCCCAUAGACUGUACAUACUGGACAAACGGAUUCCAUUGCCUCCAAUAACACGUUUGUUGUCUAUAAUGGGAGGUGGCCACCACCGCAAUUUUGACCGUGUCACAGGUUCCGUCCAGCCCAGACAAUUCCAUAAAAGGGAAGAGAGGAGGUGCUGAGGGUGUGGCUGUAAGGCUGGGCUCGAGUGACGACACCCAGGCGAACUAGCUACGAGCUAACCUGAAGCUAACCCUGGCUAACCCAAAGCUAAAGCGGAGGUGGGAGCCGAGCUAACGGAUGUAGCCACCUAGCUUCAACCCAACCGGAGCUAACUGGAACACCCAUCGACCUGAACCUUACACGGAGUUUAGGUGGAGGUUUUCUGCGCCUGUUCGUGAGAAGUACCUGUAUUAAAAAAGUUUUAAAUCGGUAAGUUUAUAAUUUAUUUCCGUAAUGAAAACAUUUUGCUUUGAGCAAGUUUUCAGUACAGUUUUUUUCGGCGCUAUCACUCCUGAGUCGCACCAGCCAUUAAAUGUAUCAUGAAGAAGAGAAAAUAUAUUUAAGUCGUAUUUUGGGGGGACAUUUUAUUAUCUUUCUUACAAAAUCUGAGACCAAGCGUUUCACAUUGCAACACAAGCACCGGUAACCAUAACAGAAUGAACAGCCAGCAGAGGAGAGGAUGGCGGUGUUUCAAACCCUCCCGGCCGGCGAGGAGAGCUCAUUCCUGGGCUGGAGCCGGCCCUCAGCACCCCGCCACAGGCUCUAACAGAUGCUGGCGGUGUUUGAAACCCUCCCAGCGGGACAGGGGAACUCAUUCUUGUGUGGGUCGGAGUCGGCCCGCAGCAGCGCGGUGUAGCCUACAUAUUUUGUUAUAUAAGUCGCUCCGGAGUAUAAGUAGCAGGACCAGCCAGAAUAUGUAAAAAAGUGCGAGUUAUAGUCCGGAAAAUAUGGCAGUUAUUAGUAUUUGAGCUAAAUUAGCAGCGUAAUUACAUUUCAUAUAUUUCCAAAAUGUAAUACAUGUUUGUAUCUUGUACAGCCAACUAGUCUUUAUUCUGGACUCAGUACAAUUUACCAAAAGUAAAGAGACAUUCUACAGAUAAAGUAAGCACAAGAUAACUUACUGGAAGACACGGGAUUAUCAUGAGAACCAGAACAAGAGAGCCUGAUAACAGUCAUGUGAAAAUAACAGUUAAAAAGUAUGUAUGUAUAAUAGAAAUAAAAAUAUAUUAGAAUUAGUGUAACUCACUGUGAUCCAAACAAUAAAUCAGCCAUAGCUGAUUAGUAAAUAUGACAUGAGGUCUUGGAGUUUUUAAUUUUCAUUUUUUUCUUAGAUCUGUUUAAAUGUCACCAUGGCAGCCUGUGUCUCUCCAACAUCAGCUACACAAAGCAGCAAGUCCAUUUGGAUCAUUGGAGACAGCUAUGUGAGGCGUGGUGCCCAGAGAGCUGCAGAGACAACCUUGGCCUCCCUGACGUGUCUCCUGGUUCGGUUGGGGCGGACCAUCGACAUACAUACAUGUGCCGACACUUUGCGCCCUGUUUUAUAAAAUGUAGUGUUAAAAAUAAAUGUUUUUGCUCAA
This is a long non-coding RNA of Nothobranchius furzeri (turquoise killifish), 2894 nucleotides long. RefSeq lists it as uncharacterized. The record is from RefSeq and is a predicted model, not a curated record. Lineage: Eukaryota; Metazoa; Chordata; Actinopteri; Cyprinodontiformes; Nothobranchiidae.